Long non-coding RNA from Oncorhynchus masou masou (cherry salmon), 1196 nucleotides. RefSeq lists it as uncharacterized. The transcript has 3 exons. The record is from RefSeq and is a predicted model, not a curated record. NCBI's taxonomy places the organism in Eukaryota, Metazoa, Chordata, Actinopteri, Salmoniformes, Salmonidae.
UGUUCUCAGAGCACACCGUCAGACUUAAUUUGAAUAGGGCAGAAAAGGUGAAUAAUGAUGCUGUUCAAAACAAUACAUUCUGGCCUUCGCAAGGGACAUCUAGAGGAAUAGCACCAAACAUGACUGAAAACAACAGAUAAUAGAUCAAGCAUAGCUCCAUAGACCUCAGCUUCUGCCUGGCUUAUUGUAUAGCCAAGGCUGAAACUUCAAUAGUGGUCCCUGCUCAGAUCACUGGAGGGCUGCUGUGUUGUGUCGGGACACAGCAGGGCGUAGAACGAACCAGCAGAGAGACGGGGGAGCAGAAAACGAGGACAUGAAAAUCAGGCGUCGACACAGGAUGUCAAGGGCAAUCAUCGCCACAGCAAUGUCACCAUGGUGCAUAUUAAGUGAAACGUUGAGCGUGUAAAACUCCCGGAAUUAUGCUCCGCUGUUCCAUCUCACGGCACAUCAAAUGGCAGUUGGUAGUUGAAACACGAUGUACCCUCUCAAGUGCAUUCAUUUUUAGUCAGUUUUAAAUGCGCUGCUGCUGUGCUGAGACAACACCCCCUGUGUGUGUGUGUGUGUGUGUGUGUGUGUGUGUGUGUGUGUGUGUGUGUGUGUGUGUGUGUGUGUGUGUGUGUGUGUGUGUGUGUGUGUGUGUGUGUGUGUGUGUGUGUGUGUGUGUGUGUGUGUGUGCGUGCGUUCAAUUGCAAAAUAAAAAAUAAAGUAGAAUUUCUCUUUAGGAUCACUUAGGUUCUUUAUCACAGGGAGGAGAGAUAGGGGAACAGUGUUGGCCACUGAGUGUUCUUCCUCGGAGAGGUAAGAGGCAAAGUCAUGUAGCAUCCCUUUAAACAGGCUCCAGGGAGGUUACGGUGGAAGAAAUGGCUUGUCUUCACCAGUGAGACAAACAACAAAUGGAUAAUGGGGUUUGGUAGAGGAAGAUAGGGCCCUGCACCCUACGGACAAAUUAGAAAGUAGGCUAUGAUUUUGGACAUUUUCAUGUAAUGUGCAAUUGAAAAUCACUUCAAAUGCAUCUGGUUCUUGUUGCGUUGUUCGCAUUGAGAAGUAUUUUGGGGGGAGAAAUAAGCAGCUGUCUUUUGGUUGGAGAAGUUAAAUUGGCCACAGGUUACAAUACAAAAACUUUGUUUGAAAAAUGCAUUCAUAUCGAAUUGUUAUUCCUUUAGAUGAAACGUUAUCCUCUUCUCAGAACAUAUGUA